This 254-nucleotide ribosomal RNA is filed under the name uncultured bacterium. RNAcentral's name for it is "partial 16S ribosomal RNA". It matches the Rfam family "Bacterial small subunit ribosomal RNA", at positions 524 to 776 of the family's 1533-position model. The record is from RNAcentral.
CACGUAGGGGGCGAGCGUUGUCCGGAUUUAUUGGGCGUAAAGAGCUCGUAGGCGGCUCAGUAAGUCAGGUGUGAAAACUCCAGGCUCAACCUGGAGACGCCACUUGAUACUGCUGUGGCUAGAGUCCGGUAGGGGAGCAUGGAAUUCCUGGUGUAGCGGUGAAAUGCGCAGAUAUCAGGAGGAACACCAGUGGCGAAGGCGGUGCUCUGGGCCGGUAUUGACGCUGAGGCGCGAAAGCUAGGGGAGCAAACGGG